Molecule: ribosomal RNA, 512 nt
Filed under: uncultured bacterium
Lineage: Bacteria
Description: partial 16S ribosomal RNA
Rfam family: Bacterial small subunit ribosomal RNA
Source: RNAcentral
GACGAACGCUGGCGGCGUGCCUAAUACAUGCAAGUCGAGCGAAUGGAAGGGAGCUUGCUCCCUGAAGUUAGCGGCGGACGGGUGAGUAACACGUGGGCAACCUGCCUGUAAGACUGGGAUAACUUCGGGAAACCGGAGCUAAUACCGGAUACGUUCUUUUCUCGCAUGAGGAAAGAUGGAAAGAUGGUUUCAGCUAUCACUUACAGAUGGGCCCGCGGCGCAUUAGCUAGUUGGUGGGGUAAUGGCCCACCAAGGCGACGAUGCGUAGCCGACCUGAGAGGGUGAUCUGCCACACUGGGACUGAGACACGGCCCAGACUCCUACGGGAGGCAGCAGUAGGGAAUCUUCCGCAAUGGACGAAAGUCUGACGGAGCAACGCCGCGUGAGCGAAGAAGGCCUUCGGGUCGUAAAGCUCUGUUGUCAGGGAAGAACAAGUGCCAGAGUAACUGCUGGCACCUUGACGGUACCUGACCAGAAAGCCACGGCUAACUACGUGCCAGCCGCCGCCGUAA